RNAcentral lists this ribosomal RNA (425 nucleotides) under uncultured Clostridium sp. RNAcentral's name for it is "bacterial SSU rRNA". It matches the Rfam family "Bacterial small subunit ribosomal RNA", at positions 355 to 794 of the family's 1533-position model. The record is from RNAcentral. Lineage: Bacteria; Bacillati; Bacillota; Clostridia; Eubacteriales; Clostridiaceae.
UGGGGAAUAUUGGACAAUGGGGGGAAACCCUGAUCCAGCGACGCCGCGUGAGUGAAGAAGUAUUUCGGUAUGUAAAGCUCUAUCAGCAGGGAAGAAAAAUAGACGGUACCUGACUAAGAAGCCCCGGCUAACUACGUGCCAGCAGCCGCGGUAAUACGUAGGGGGCAAGCGUUAUCCGGAUUUACUGGGUGUAAAGGGAGCGUAGACGGUAAUGCAAGUCUGAAGUGAAAUGCGGGGGCUCAACCCCUGAACUGCUUUGGAAACUGUAUAACUGGAGUGCAGGAGAGGUAAGUGGAAUUCCUAGUGUAGCGGCGAAAUGCGUAGAUAUUAGGAGGAACACCAGUGGCGAAGGCGGCUUACUGGACUGUAACUGACGUUGAGGCUCGAAAGCGUGGGGAGCAAACAGGAUUAGAUACCCUGGUAGU